Bubalus bubalis (water buffalo) is the source of this 1949-nucleotide long non-coding RNA. RefSeq lists it as uncharacterized. The record is from RefSeq and is a predicted model, not a curated record. The transcript is spliced from 2 exons. NCBI's taxonomy places the organism in Eukaryota, Metazoa, Chordata, Mammalia, Artiodactyla, Bovidae.
AUCUGGAUUCCAGCUUGUGAUGAGUCAUCAGGUAAGACUAACUAUAAGGUACUCUUCAGUUGCUGCUAGACAAAUUGCUAAUUUCUUUUUGGCUAUUUCUUAGGAUAUUUGCUUGGUUUGACUUUUAACCAAGUUUCUUUGUUCCUGGCAAGAUUGGUUUAAAAAUCAAAAAGGGACAGAAAAAAGUGUUGACCAAUCAGAGCCCUAAUCACAUAAUUACUGUUGAUUGCUGCUGAUCAAAUUAUACUGUUUCCCAGGUAUAAAGCUAGAGCCAUCAGGACAUGGGCCUGCAUUUGGAGUCCGGUUGCCAGGAGAACAGUGUCUCUCUGGGUCCUUGUAUAGCUGCAGUUGGAAUCAGGAUUUUGUUGAUAGAAGCCUGUGGGAUCUCAGUACUCUGACCCAGGUGUGGAUCUCAUCAGUGUCCUCGGGAAGAGGGACCCAGGGAAGCGACUGUCCUGGCCCGGGUUAGGAGGAGCGUCUCAUCAAACACGGCGCACACAUCUCUGGAACUCGAAGCUGAGUUUCUGUUUGCUGACGCCCCUUCGAUGGACAGCCCUGCCCUGCUGAGCCCUCGGCUCCAGCAUCCUGCUAAUGCUUCCGGAUGCUGCUGUGCUCCUGAUCUUCAACCCUUGGGUCCCCCUUUGGAUCCUGGAAAUCCAAUGCACCCCGGCCCGUGCCUGCGAUCGCUGGAGGGUAUUGCAGCCGGUGACCUUUACGGCGCCCCCUUGAUUCCUCCCAACGUCAGUGAGACUCUGACCGCGUUCCCCAGAGACGCUGCUAGGACCUGCAGGGCCCCCAUAAACUUGGGUGAGGUGGUAAGGUUGGACCACUCUUAUGCCUCUAAGAGUCUGGCACCAGCUGCAGAGACCAGAGUCUCCAGCACCUUUGACUAUGAUCCCCUGGGGCUAAAGCUAGAGGCACUUGCAUCUCUUGAGUCCUGUGACGAGCUCUCCACCAAUGGAUGGUCUUCAAUCUGUGAGCCCAUGACUACUGAAGAAUUUGCCAAAUGUGACUCUCGGGGAUUUUUUUUUAACUCUGUGUCUGUCUGCUUAGUCGCUCAGUCCUGUCCAUCUCUUUAUGACCUCAUGGACUGUAGCUCACCAGGCUCCUCUGUCCAUGGAAUUCUCCAGGAAAGGAUACUGGAGUGGGUUGCUAUUCCUUUCUCCAAUGGAUGUUCCUGACCCAGGAAUUGAACCCAGGUCUCCUCCAUUACAGACAGAUUCUUUACUGUCUGAACCACCAGGGAAGCCCUUUGUAACUGUAUUGAUAUUUGUUAAAGCUGUUAUCCCAAUGUAUAUCCACAAAACAAAGAAAGGUAAAAUCCUUAAAAUAUAUUUUUAAAUCCAGCAUUAUCUCCUAAAGGAAAGUGACCUUUCAACAACUAGUCCACUCUUUUGCCUAGUAUAACUUCUUUAUUUAUACUCCUUUCUGCCUACAUUUUUUAUUUUGUACAGCUUCUUGGUGCUUUCUGCUAGACUGAAUGCUGCCAAGUUUGAAUUGUAUUUUGCAUAAGUAAACUCUUCAAUUUUUUAAUAUGCCUCAGUUUAUCUUUCAACAAUCUAAAGCAGAGUAAUCCAGAAAAGUUAAAAGUAAAUGAAUCAACAAAAUUAUACUAAGAAAAAUACAAACAGAAAGCAGAAGUCAUGAAUCUUAGUGUCAGAGAAAAUAGAAUUGACUCUCAAAGGUAUAUGAAAGGGCUCUAAAGGCUACAUCUCACCAUAAAUGUAUAACAGUCAUGAAUGCCCAGGCAACUUUGAUAAAGUUUAAAUUAUAGAAAAUCAAACAAGUUGGAAGAAACAUUAAAAAUAGGAGAAUUUAAAUUACUUAAUGUGAUAUUUUGAUUUAUACUAUGAAAUAUAUGUUUGGUCCUCAUUUCAAUUUCUGAUUGAUAGCUCCUAAAACCCUUGGAAUUUCCGAAGUAAAUAAAGUUACAUUUUAUGAUUUUGUUA